Molecule: RNA transcript, 2742 nt
Organism: Quercus lobata
Lineage: Eukaryota; Viridiplantae; Streptophyta; Magnoliopsida; Fagales; Fagaceae
Gene name: putative disease resistance RPP13-like protein 1
Exons: 11
Source: RefSeq, a predicted model, not a curated record
AUAAGAAAGAUAGAGAAGGAUGUAAACUUGGAGAGUUAAAAAAUUUGAAUCAACUUCGAGGGACUCUUAUAAUAAAUCGGAUGGAAAAUGUGGUAAAUGUGGAUGAGGCUCAUAAUGCACAAUUGAAAGAUAAAAUACAUCUCCGUGGAUUGGCGCUAAUGUUUCACGAACCUGAAGGAAGAAUGGAGAAUGACAGAAUGGAGAAUGACGUAAAAGUAUUGACUGCCUUAGAGCUACCACCAAACUUGCAACGUUUAACAAUUAGGGGCCACGAGGGCAACACAAUUUAUCCUAAUUUGCCUACUUUGGGGCAGUUGCCAUUCCUUGAAGUAUUAGAUAUAGGAGGGCUUGAUAAUGUGAAGAAGGUGGGAGAUGAAUUUCUGGGAAUAGAAGAUUCCAAAAACAAGAAAGACUACGGCAUCAUAUUCCCAAACCUGAAAUCUCUCCGAUUUUUAUGGAUGAGAAACUGGGAAGAAUGGAUUGGGAUGGGAGGAACGGGAGAAGAAGAAGAAGAAAAUGAUAAUGGUAUUGUUACAAAUCCGAUAACAAUGCCACGUCUUCAGUCCUUGACAAUUGAAGGCUGCCACAGGCUAAAGUCUCUGCCAAACUACUUGCUUACUGCUCCAUUAUUGAAGAAAUUGGUGAUUUAUCGUUCACGGCUUCUUCAAGAACGUUACCAAAGAGGGACCGGAGAGAACUGGCACAAGAUUUCUCAUAUCUCUAACAUCAUGUUGGAUGGGAAGGUGGUGCAAAUAGACGGUGAACCCCAGUUUUAUUCAAAGACCUCAAAUCAACAAAAUGAAUUUGGAUCAGAAAUCAGUGACAAAGAUGAUGUUGGGGCUGGCUCAGCUGAGUGUGUGGUGGAUGAACGAGUGGAAGUAGACAAUGAUGAGGGUCCAGAGAUCUGUGAUGCAGACAGAUAAUAAGAGCAAGGUGUUGAAGUGGACAAGAUUUUUGAAGAUCACAAAGGAGGAGCUGGUGGACGACCGAAAUUGAGGACCUGGUUUUUUUAGUAAUCACCGUGAGAGAGAAAAGGACAUUAAAAGUCUCUUUUGUGGAUGUUUGAGGGUGGCUUUAGCUCUCUCUCUUUUGCCUCAUUUAUUCACUCUUGCCUCUUAAUCAAAACAAAUAAAUCCUCCCUCCAACCAUCUCCAUUGCGACACUCUUCAGGGAAGGUUUUGAUGGAGUAUGGAGUCGGAUUUGCCCAUUACAAGCCUGCCCUGUAUUGAGCAGCAAGCAGACAGUUUGAACUAGUCUAAAAAGGUUAAGAAAAGAUGUGUUGGCCAAGGAUGAAGCAGAAAGUCAGAAACCUCUUUGGCUAUUAAUGGUGAAGGAAGUGCUGGAGUGUUAAUAAUGUUCGAUCAGCCAGCGGUAUAUGAAUGCUUUUGUUCAUCAUCCCUUGGUGAUUCUCCUAACAGCUCUGGAGGCUUUUAGCUAUAUGAUGGCAUGUGAAAUGACAAUAUCAAUUGGUGCAUCUGGUGCACUUUUUGUACUAUUGGGAGCCAUCGUUUCUAAACUUUUCACUAAUUGGACAAUCUAUGCAAAGAAGGUAGCAUUUUUUUUUUGCUCUUAUUCACGGCUUCUUCAAGAACGUUACCAAAGAGGGACCGGAGAGAACUGGCACAAGAUUUCUCAUAUCUCUAACAUCAUGUUGGAUGGGAAGUGGGUGCAAAUAGACGGUGAACCCCAGUUUUAUUCAAAGACUGAAUCUGGAUCAGAAGUUAGUGACAAAGAUGAUGUUGGGUCUGGCUCGGCUGAGUGUGUGGUGGAUGAACGAGUGGAAGUAGACAAUGAUGAGGGUCUGGAGAUCUGUGAAGUAGACAGAUAAUAAGAGCAAGGUGUUGAAGUGGGCAAGAUUUUUGAAGACCACAAAGGAGGAGUUGGUGGAUGACAGAAAUUGAGGACCUGGUUUUUUGAGUAAUCACCGUGAGAGAGAAGAGGACUUUAAAAGUCUCUUUUGUGGAUGUUUGAGGGUGGCUUUGGCUCUCUCUGUUUUGCUUCAUUUCUUCACUCUUUCUUCCGAAUCAAAACAAAUAAACCCUCCCUCCUACCAUCUCCAUUGCAACACUCUUCAGGAAGGUUUUGAUGGAGUAUGGGAGUGAGAUUUGCCCAUUACAAGCCAGGCCUGUAUUGAGCAACAAGCAGAUUGUUUGACCUAGUCCAAAAAGGUUAAGAAAAGAUGUGUUGGCCAAGGAUGAAACAGAAAGUCAGAAACCUCUUUGGCUAUUAGUGGAAUCCUUAAUUGACCAUAUUCCUCAGUCUGGGGUGCUACAUGGGGCACAACCAUCUGGCAGCGAAGAACCUAGUCAAUUAGAAUUCUCAUUAAUGGUCUUAUAUCUUUCCAACACAUUUCUCUUCCAUUAAUAUGACUUGUGCUUGAAGGAGCUGGUGGAGAAUUUGGGAAUAAGCUAUUGCAAGAUGUGAGUCUGUAUAUCUCAAAAAUCAAGGUAUGGAUGUUAGGGUGUAUUCUCUUGCUUCGGUGCUAAAUUUGUUGUUUGUCAUGCCUGGCAAUUGUGAGCAGAUCACCUUUGAAAGUUAGUAGAGGAAGAACUUGAGGAGUAUUUGUGUAGUAACUAAUACAACUUUAAGGCUUGGCUUUGCAGUUGGUAUUAUGCAUAACCGUGAAAGAAGUGCUAGAGCGUUAGUAAUGUUCAAUCAGCCAAUGGUAUAUGAAUGCUUUUGUUCAUCAUCCCUUGGUGAUUCUCCCAACAGCUCUGGAGGCUUUUAGCCAUAUGAUGACAU